GAUCCUGGCUCAGAACGAACGCUUGCUGCAUGCUUUAUACAUGCAAGUCGAACGAAGGCCCUAGCUUGCUAGGUGUCCUUAGUGGCACACGGGUGAGUAACACGUGGGAACAUACCUCAUAGUACGGAAUAACUGCGGGAAACUGUAGCUAAUACCGUAUAUUCCAGAAAUGGGAAAGAUUUAUCGCUAUGAGAUUGGCCCGCGCAAGAUUAGCUUGUUGGUAAGGUAAUGGCUUACCAAGGCUCCGAUCUUUAGCUGGUUUGAGAGGAUGAUCAGCCACACUGGGACUGAGACACGGCCCAGACUCCUACGGGAGGCAGCAGUAGGGAAUAUUGGACAAUGGGGGAAACCCUGAUCCAGCAAUGCAGCGUGAGUGACGAAGGCCUUAGGGUUGUAAAACUCUUUCAUCGGUGAGGAUAAUGACAGUAGCCGAAGAAGAAGGACCGGCUAAUUCCGUGCCAGCAGCCGCGGUAAUACGGAAGGUCCUAGCGUUGUUCGGAAUUACUGGGCGUAAAGCGCAUGUAGGCGGAACAAAAAGUUAGAAGUGAAAUCCCUGGGCUCAACCUAGGAAUGGCUUUUAAAACUUUUGUUCUGGAAUUCAGGAGAGGAAAAUGGAAUUUCCAGUGUAGAGGUGAAAUUCGUAGAUAUUGGAAGGAACACCAGUGGCGAANGCGAUUUUCUGGACUGAUAUUGACGCUGAGAUGCGAAGGCAUGGGUAGCAAACGGGAUUAGAUACCCCGGUAGUCCAUGCAGUAAACGAUGGGUGCUAGUCGUCGGACUUUUGUUCGGUGUCGUAGCUAACGUGUUAAGCACCCCGCCUGGGGAGUA
This 828-nucleotide ribosomal RNA is filed under the name uncultured bacterium. RNAcentral describes it as "bacterial SSU rRNA". It matches the Rfam family "Bacterial small subunit ribosomal RNA", at positions 15 to 882 of the family's 1533-position model. The record is from RNAcentral.